ACCGCAUCUAGCCUGAGGCUGAUCCCCAAGGGCGAACACCGGGAAACCCUUGCCCGGCUGGUGCGGUUUCCGAUUCAAGGG
RNAcentral lists this small RNA (81 nucleotides) under Rugosibacter aromaticivorans. RNAcentral describes it as "int-alpA RNA". It matches the Rfam family "int-alpA RNA". From Rfam's summary of the family: Acidobacteria (1 example), Planctomycetes (1 example), Proteobacteria. Environment (Lake Washington) The record is from Rfam by way of RNAcentral. Lineage: Bacteria; Pseudomonadati; Pseudomonadota; Betaproteobacteria; Nitrosomonadales; Sterolibacteriaceae.